Long non-coding RNA from Oncorhynchus keta (chum salmon), 341 nucleotides. RefSeq lists it as uncharacterized. The transcript is spliced from 3 exons. The record is from RefSeq and is a predicted model, not a curated record. NCBI's taxonomy places the organism in Eukaryota, Metazoa, Chordata, Actinopteri, Salmoniformes, Salmonidae.
GCUAGGGGGACAGAGAGACUCCUUUACAGUGGAGGUGUUUGAGAACCAGGUGAGAUGCUAGGGGGACAGAGAGACUGCUUUACAGUGGAGGUGUUUGAGAACCAGGUGAGAUGCUAGGGGGACAGAGAGACUCCUUUACAGUGGAGGUGUUUGAGAACCAGGUGAGAUGCUAGGGGGACAGAGAGACUGCUUUACAGUGGAGGUGUUUGAGAACCAGGUGAGAUGCUAGGGGGACAGAGAGACUCCUUUACAGUGGAGGUGUUUGAGAACCAGGUGAGAUGCUAGGGGGACAGAGAGACUGCUUUACAGUGGAGGUGUUUGAGAACCAGGUGAGAUGCUAG